ACAUGCAGUCGAGCGCAUGAAAUUAUUAUGAUUCUCUUCGGGUUGACGAUAAUGGAAUGAGCGGCGGACGGGUGAGUAACACGUAGGCAACCUGCCUGUAAGACUGGGAUAACUCGUGGAAACGCGAGCUAAUACCGGAUAACACUUUUCAUCUCCUGAUGAGAAGUUGAAAGGCGGCUUUUGCUGUCACUUACAGAUGGGCCUGCGGCGCAUUAGCUAGUUGGUAAGGUAACGGCUUACCAAGGCGACGAUGCGUAGCCGACCUGAGAGGGUGAUCGGCCACACUGGGACUGAGACACGGCCCAGACUCCUACGGGAGGCAGCAGUAGGGAAUCUUCCGCAAUGGACGAAAGUCUGACGGAGCAACGCCGCGUGAGUGAUGAAGGUUUUCGGAUCGUAAAACUCUGUUGUUAGGGAAGAACAAGUACUAUAGUAACUGAUAGUACCUUGACGGUACCUAACCAGAA
This 467-nucleotide ribosomal RNA is filed under the name Oceanobacillus iheyensis. Its description in RNAcentral is "bacterial SSU rRNA". It matches the Rfam family "Bacterial small subunit ribosomal RNA", at positions 53 to 488 of the family's 1533-position model. Lineage: Bacteria; Bacillati; Bacillota; Bacilli; Caryophanales; Bacillaceae. The record is from RNAcentral.